AAUCCAUAGGUUAAUGAGGCGAACCGGGGGAACUGAAACAUCUAAGUACCCCGAGGAAAAGAAAUCAACCGAGAUUCCCCCAGUAGCGGCGAGCGAACGGGGAGGAGCCCAGAGCCUGAAUCAGCAUGUGUGUUAGUGGAAGCGUCUGGAAAGGCGCGCGAUACAGGGUGACAGCCCCGUACACAAAAGCGCAUGUGCUGUGAGCUCGAUGAGUAGGGCGGGACACGUGGUAUCCUGUCUGAAUAUGGGGGGACCAUCCUCCAAGGCUAAAUACUCCUGACUGACCGAUAGUGAACCAGUACCGUGAGGGAAAGGCGAAAAGAACCCCGGCGAGGGGAGUGAAAAAGAACCUGAAACCGUGUACGUACAAGCAGUGGGAGCACAGGUUUACCUGUGUGACUGCGUACCUUUUGUAUAAUGGGUCAGCGACUUAUAUUCUGUAGCAAGGUUAACCGAAUAGGGGAGCCGUAGGGAAACCGAGUCUUAA
This 487-nucleotide ribosomal RNA is filed under the name Salmonella enterica subsp. enterica. RNAcentral's name for it is "partial 23S ribosomal RNA". It matches the Rfam family "Bacterial large subunit ribosomal RNA", at positions 161 to 687 of the family's 2925-position model. Lineage: Bacteria; Pseudomonadati; Pseudomonadota; Gammaproteobacteria; Enterobacterales; Enterobacteriaceae. The record is from RNAcentral.